Ribosomal RNA from Pteropus vampyrus (large flying fox), 118 nucleotides. Lineage: Eukaryota; Metazoa; Chordata; Mammalia; Chiroptera; Pteropodidae. The record is from Ensembl.
GUCUACAGCCAUGCCAUAGGAACAAGCCCGAUCCUGUCUGAUCUUGGAAGCUAAGCAGGGUCAGGCCUGGUUAGUACUUGGAUGGGAGACCACUUAGGAAGACUAGGUUCUGUAGGAG